Long non-coding RNA from Aethalodelphis obliquidens (Pacific white-sided dolphin), 340 nucleotides. RefSeq lists it as uncharacterized. The record is from RefSeq and is a predicted model, not a curated record. The transcript is spliced from 4 exons. NCBI's taxonomy places the organism in Eukaryota, Metazoa, Chordata, Mammalia, Artiodactyla, Delphinidae.
UAUGAUCAUCUCUAGGUCCAUCCAUGUUGCUGCAAAUGGCAUUAUUUCAUUCUUUUUUACGGCUGAGUAAUACUCCAUCGUGUAUAUAUACCACAUCUUCUUUCUUGAAAGCCUUAUACAGCAUCAGAAAGACACUGAAUAAUAUAAGCGCCAUUCUGACACGGAGGAGUGCAAUCUUAUCUCACUGUAAAGACCCUUGGGGCUGGUCUUCAACACAUUGAAGAAAUUGUUAUUUCUUCCAGACAGCUGAGUGGGUGGAGAAAGAAAAGUGAUACGGAGAGCAUUUCUCGUCUUCGGCAUCUUCCUCCAUCCCCAGGAUUCUCAUCUGACGCUUUGUGAC